GAUGAACGCUAGCGGCAGGCCUAACACAUGCAAGUCGAGGGGUAUAGUUCUUCGGAACUAGAGACCGGCGCACGGGUGCGUAACGCGUAUGCAAUCUACCUUUUACAGGGGAAUAGCCCAGAGAAAUUUGGAUUAAUGCCCCAUAGUGUUAUAGAAUCGCAUGGUUUUAUAACUAAAGUUCCAACGGUAAAAGAUGAGCAUGCGUCCCAUUAGUUAGUUGGUAAGGUAACGGCUUACCAAGACAAUGAUGGGUAGGGGUCCUGAGAGGGAGAUCCCCCACACUGGUACUGAGACACGGACCAGACUCCUACGGGAGGCAGCAGUGAGGAAUAUUGGACAAUGGGCGCAAGCCUGAUCCAGCCAUGCCGCGUGCAGGAAGACGGUCCUAUGGAUUGUAAACUGCUUUUGUACAGGAAGAAACACUCCCUCGUGAGGGAGCUUGACGGUACUGUAAGAAUAAGGAUCGGCUAACUCCGUGCCAGCAGCCGCGGUAAAGUACAGUGU
This 504-nucleotide ribosomal RNA is filed under the name uncultured bacterium. RNAcentral describes it as "bacterial SSU rRNA". It matches the Rfam family "Bacterial small subunit ribosomal RNA", at positions 28 to 533 of the family's 1533-position model. The record is from RNAcentral.